RNAcentral lists this ribosomal RNA (497 nucleotides) under uncultured bacterium. RNAcentral's name for it is "partial 16S ribosomal RNA". It matches the Rfam family "Bacterial small subunit ribosomal RNA", at positions 28 to 507 of the family's 1533-position model. The record is from RNAcentral.
GACGAACGCUGGCGGCGUGCCUAAUACAUGCAAGUUGAGCGCUGAAGGUUGGUACUUGUGCCAACUGGAUGUGCAGCGCACGGGUGAGUAACGCGUGGGGAAUCUGCCUUUGAGCGGGGGACAACAUUUGGAAACGAAUGCUAAUACCGCAUAUAAACUUUAAACACAAGUUUUAAGUUUGAAAGAUGCAAUUGCAUCACUCAAAGAUGAUCCCGCGUUGUAUUAGCUAGUUGGUGAGGUAAAGGCUCACCAAGGCGAUGAUACAUAGCCGACCUGAGAGGGCGAUCGGCCAGAUUGGGACGGAGACACGGCCCAAACUCCUACGGGAGGCAGCAGUAGGGAAUCUUCGGCAAGGGACGAAAGUCUGACCGAGAAACGCCGCGUGAGUGAAGAAGGUUGUCGGAUCGUAGAACUCUGUUGGUAGAGAAGAACGUUGGUGAGAGUGGAAAGCUCAGCAAGUGACGGUAACUACCCAGAAAGGGACGGCUAACUACGUG